This 383-nucleotide ribosomal RNA is filed under the name uncultured bacterium. RNAcentral's name for it is "bacterial SSU rRNA". It matches the Rfam family "Bacterial small subunit ribosomal RNA", at positions 28 to 411 of the family's 1533-position model. The record is from RNAcentral.
GACGAACGCUGGCGGCGUGCUUAACACAUGCAAGUCGAGCGGUAAGGCCCUUUCGGGGGUACGACGAGCGGCGAACGGGUGAGUAACACGUGGGUGACCUGCCCUCCAGCUCUGGGAUAAGCCUGGGAAACCGGGUCUAAUACUGGAUAUGACUCCAUGACGCAUGUUGUGGGGUGGAAAGCCUUGUGCGGCUGAGGAUGGGCCCGCGGCCUAUCAGCUUGUUGGUGGGGUGAGGCCUACCAAGGCGACGACGGGUAGCCGGCCUGCGAGGGCGACCGGCCACACUGGGACUGAGACACGGCCCAGACUCCUACGGGAGGCAGCAGUGGGGAAUCUUGCGCAAUGGGCGAAAGCCUGACGCAGCGACGCCGCGUGAGGGAUGA